Podarcis lilfordi (Lilford's wall lizard) is the source of this 78-nucleotide non-coding RNA. The record is from the annotation of a GenBank genome assembly. Lineage: Eukaryota; Metazoa; Chordata; Lepidosauria; Squamata; Lacertidae.
GCCCACAGGGGUUAGCUCAGUCAGUAGAGCAUGAGACUCUUAAUCUCAGGUUUAUGGGUUCAAGCCCUACACUGGGCU